UACGUAGGGUGCGAGCGUUGUCCGGAAUUACUGGGCGUAAAGAGCUCGUAGGUGGUUUGUCGCGUUGUUCGUGAAAACUCACAGCUUAACUGUGGGCGUGCGGGCGAUACGGGCAGACUGGAGUACUGCAGGGGAGACUGGAAUUCCUGGUGUAGCGGUGGAAUGCGCAGAUAUCAGGAGGAACACCGGUGGCGAAGGCGGGUCUCUGGGCCGACAUUGACGCUGAGGAGCGAAAGCGUGGGGAGCGAACAGG
This 253-nucleotide ribosomal RNA is filed under the name uncultured bacterium. RNAcentral's name for it is "partial 16S ribosomal RNA". It matches the Rfam family "Bacterial small subunit ribosomal RNA", at positions 524 to 776 of the family's 1533-position model. The record is from RNAcentral.